UGAGACCUACCUGGCAGCAGAGAAGU
Molecule: non-coding RNA, 26 nt
Filed under: Rattus norvegicus (Norway rat)
Lineage: Eukaryota; Metazoa; Chordata; Mammalia; Rodentia; Muridae
Source: RNAcentral